Molecule: ribosomal RNA, 236 nt
Filed under: uncultured Staphylococcus sp.
Lineage: Bacteria; Bacillati; Bacillota; Bacilli; Caryophanales; Staphylococcaceae
Description: partial 16S ribosomal RNA
Rfam family: Bacterial small subunit ribosomal RNA
Source: RNAcentral
GGGUGAGUAACACGUGGAUAACCUACCUAUAAGACUGGGAUAACUUCGGGAAACCGGAGCUAAUACCGGAUAAUAUUUUGAACCGCAUGGUUCAAAAGUGAAAGACGGUCUUGCUGUCACUUAUAGAUGGAUCCGCGCUGCAUUAGCUAGUUGGUAAGGUAACGGCUUACCAAGGCAACGAUGCAUAGCCGACCUGAGAGGGUGAUCGGCCACACUGGAACUGAUACACGGUCCAG